This 266-nucleotide long non-coding RNA is filed under the name Homo sapiens (human). RNAcentral describes it as "non-protein coding lnc-C9orf16-1:2". The record is from RNAcentral. Lineage: Eukaryota; Metazoa; Chordata; Mammalia; Primates; Hominidae.
CAGGGACAGCCAGUGUGAGACCAGGUCCAGGCUGCUGCAGCCAUGAUGCCUCCAUGCACUACAGCUACUGGAGUCCCAAGCUGGAGUCCAGCCUGAUUCCCACCCACAGGUUGUAACCAAUGAGCCCUAAGAGAAGCGCUGAAGACCAGGAAGGCCCAGAUCCAGGGGUAGGGGUGUUGGGUCCUCUCCACUGGGGUGCAGGCAGAGAGGCAAAGAGGAAGGAGACCCUUCGUGACUCUCAGCGAGGCUGUGAAGAAGAAUAUCCG